CACAGCCAACUUCAGGAGGGACUGACUUUUAUUUUCUUUACUUAGAGAACAAUGUGGAACAUCAUUGGAUCGGGACUUCCAGCUGCUCUGUUGCAGUGCCUGUACCUUUUCUUUACGUUUCCUCUGAAAGAAAACAGUGAUGGAGAGACAAAUGAAGGUGAAACUCAGGAGAUGCUUGUUGAGAUAAUGCUUAAAAUGUACAGAGAGGAACAAGGUGUAGAGGAACUUUUGGCAGCUGAUAAGCUUCAGUCAUUAAUUAUAGCAGCUGCUUCCCUCUGGGACCAAUGUAGCCAUCCAUGGAAAGUACCAACAGGCCGUGUGCUGCGAACAAUCUCAAAGACUCA
This 344-nucleotide long non-coding RNA is filed under the name Gallus gallus (chicken). RNAcentral's name for it is "long non-coding RNA NONGGAT008142". Lineage: Eukaryota; Metazoa; Chordata; Aves; Galliformes; Phasianidae. The record is from RNAcentral.